This is a long non-coding RNA of Colossoma macropomum (tambaqui), 1164 nucleotides long. RefSeq lists it as uncharacterized. Lineage: Eukaryota; Metazoa; Chordata; Actinopteri; Characiformes; Serrasalmidae. The record is from RefSeq and is a predicted model, not a curated record. The transcript has 3 exons.
UACAUUUAGAUAUACAGGAUGGUGAAAUAACAGCGAGGCCUUUUGAUGGUGCUGUAGUGUUAGAGGUGUGGAGAAGGCCCUGGGGAGCCACUUGGUCCUCAUAAAACAAGCUGUGAUAGGUGAGCUUUUCCCUCAGGUGGGUUAUAGGGUGAUCUUCUGGAGAGGUUAUCCUGCACGAACAUCUCUCCUAUCCAUCAUCGCUGAGCUAGUGGCAAGGAUAGAUAAAGAAGGGUCAGGUAGUCAGAGUUGUAUCUCUAUGGGUUCAUCCUGGCCCACAUUUUCUUUCACUUCCAUGGGUUCCUCCUCAUCAUCUUUUCCAUCAGCUUUCAUGGGUUAUUCUUGAUCCAGUUCUCCAUAUUCCAGGGAUUCCUACUGAUGCGGUUCUAUAUCCUUCUCCAUGGACUCCCCCUGAUCGAGUUCUUCACCCACCUUCAUGCACUCUUCCUGGGCCAGUUCUUGAUGAACUUUAGUGGGUUGAUCUUCAUCCAAAAUCAUGGUGAACAGACUUGCUAGAUUGUAAUUUGCCGUGGUGGUGCUGGGGAACCUUCAGCAGUUCUGUGUGAAAGAUAGCAACACUUUGGUUACGUGUUUUGUCCAAAAUGGUGUUGUCGAGGGUCCAGGUGGGCUGGUGUUAACAGUUCAGUGUGCUAAGCUUUAUACACUCUUAGGACCACAACAAGUAAGGUGUGUUAAUGGGCAAUGGUCAGAGCUGCCUGUUUGUAAAGGUCAGUAUCACUUGUAGUUCAAAUCAGUUUAAAUUUAAAAAGUGGAAAACUUUUUUGAUCUUUUUUUUUUACAUUUAAUCCCGUUUCUCUGUUUCCUCAGCUUCAUGUAGACUGGAUCAGUCAAUGUUUUAUUUUCCUGAGAGAGUACAUGCCGCAGGGCGAAGAGGAGGUGUUUUUUUUGUUCUCGCUUUUCCACAGUGCAAGUCAAAUGUGAUGAUGGAAGAGUGCUCUAUAGAGGAUGUGGUCGCAAUGAGCGGUGAUAUCUGCGUGUGCGGCACUUCUUACUGCUGCAGCUGCUGCUGAUAUACUCAAACCUGCAGAGGGACUGGAAGAAAUUACAACCCAAAUGUUUCAACUUUUAAGCAUUACUGUAACAUUGCUUUCCUUUUCCAGAACAAAUGUUCUUAUUUUAACCAGAAUAAAGGCACUUCCUUAAACA